AGACGCUGUGCCGGCUCACCUCCUCAGACCUCCGUCUCGAGCAUAGCGAGGGAGAAAAGGCGCUAUCGAACGCGAGCGCGGCGGGCUUCACGUUAACAGCGCGGAAGGUCGACGGCGGAUCCCGCGGUGCGGCGCGGCGACGGGAGGCGACAUGCUCUGAGCUGCGCGCUGCCUUCGCUCUCGCUCUCACGCGGCGCGCUGCCGCACGCGGCCGCCAGGGGGCGACAGAACACGCGACCCGCUCACCGGGAAAAAAUAAGCUGUUGGAUUAUUACCAAAUGAAAAUGCCGAAAGAAUAGGGGGCUACCCUGUUGGGGGAUUCACAGACUACUUGUCAAACGGAGACCUUCCAGGAACCAGUUGAAGAUUAAGAAACUGUCAGCUAAUGGUCCACCCAGCAGGAUUCCCAGAAAAGAAAAACAACACCAACCAAGCUUACUGCAAGACAGAAGUAGUCUGUUUAAUGUCUCCUUUUAACAUUUAAAGC
Molecule: long non-coding RNA, 487 nt
Organism: Gasterosteus aculeatus aculeatus (three-spined stickleback)
Lineage: Eukaryota; Metazoa; Chordata; Actinopteri; Perciformes; Gasterosteidae
Source: Ensembl